RNAcentral lists this transfer RNA (72 nucleotides) under Camelus bactrianus (Bactrian camel). It matches the Rfam family "tRNA". From Rfam's summary of the family: Transfer RNA (tRNA) molecules are approximately 80 nucleotides in length. Their secondary structure includes four short double-helical elements and three loops (D, anti-codon, and T loops). The record is from Rfam by way of RNAcentral. Lineage: Eukaryota; Metazoa; Chordata; Mammalia; Artiodactyla; Camelidae. RNAcentral also lists the same sequence under 1 other name.
GAAGGUACAGCUCAGUGGUAGAGUGCAUGCUUAGAAUGCACAAGGUCCUCGGUUCAAUCCCCAGUACCUACU